This 446-nucleotide ribosomal RNA is filed under the name uncultured bacterium. RNAcentral's name for it is "bacterial SSU rRNA". It matches the Rfam family "Bacterial small subunit ribosomal RNA", at positions 335 to 798 of the family's 1533-position model. The record is from RNAcentral.
ACUCCUACGGGAGGCAGCAGUGGGGAAUCUUGGACAAUGGGCGCAAGCCUGAUCCAGCCAUGCCGCGUGAGUGAUGAAGGCCCUAGGGUCGUAAGCUCUUUCGCCAGGGAUGAUAAUGACAGUACCUGGUAAAGAAACCCCGGCUAACUCCGUGCCAGCAGCCGCGGUAAUACGGAGGGGUUUAGCGUUGUUCGGAAUUUACUGGGCGUAAAGCGCGCGUAGGCGGACUGGAAAGUUGGGGUGAAUCCCGGGGCUCAACCCGGAACUGCCUCCAAAACUCCCAGUCUUGAGUUCGAGAGAGGUGAGUGGAAUUCCGAGUGUAGAGGUGAAAUUCGUAGAUAUUCGGAGGAACACCAGUGGCGAAGGCGGCUCACUGGCUCGAUACUGACGCUGAGGUGCGAAAGGUGUGGGGAGCAAACAGGAUUAGAUACCCUGGUAGCGACUGA